AUGCAAGUCGAACGGAAAGGCCCUUCGGGGUACUCGAGUGGCGAACGGGUGAGUAACACGUGGGUGAUCUGCCCUGCACUUUGGGAUAAGCCUGGGAAACUGGGUCUAAUACCGAAUAUGACCACGCGCUUCAUGGUGUGUGGUGGAAAGCUUUUGCGGUGUGGGAUGGGCCCGCGGCCUAUCAGCUUGUUGGUGGGGUAAUGGCCUACCAAGGCGACGACGGGUAGCCGGCCUGAGAGGGUGACCGGCCACACUGGGACUGAGAUACGGCCCAGACUCCUACGGGAGGCAGCAGUGGGGAAUAUUGCACAAUGGGCGCAAGCCUGAUGCAGCGACGCCGCGUGAGGGAUGACGGCCUUCGGGUUGUAAACCUCUUUCAAUAGGGACGAAGCGCAAGUGACGGUACCUAUAGAAGAAGGACCGGCCAACUACGUGCCAGCAGCCGCGGUAAUACGUAGGGUCCGAGCGUUGUCCGGAAUUACUGGGCGUAAAGAGCUCGUACGUGGUUUGUCGCGUUGUUCGUGAAAACUCACAGCUUAACUGUGGGCGUGCGGCCGAUACGGGCAGACUAGAGUACUGCAGGGGAGACUGGAAUUCGUGGUGUAUGGGUGGAAUGCCCAAAUGUCACGACG
RNAcentral lists this ribosomal RNA (632 nucleotides) under Mycolicibacterium fortuitum. RNAcentral describes it as "bacterial SSU rRNA". It matches the Rfam family "Bacterial small subunit ribosomal RNA", at positions 55 to 704 of the family's 1533-position model. The record is from RNAcentral. Lineage: Bacteria; Bacillati; Actinomycetota; Actinomycetes; Mycobacteriales; Mycobacteriaceae.